AUCCAGACUCCUACGGGAGGCAGCAGUGGGGAAUAUUGCACAAUGGGGGAAACCCUGAUGCAGCGACGCCGCGUGAGUGAAGAAGUAUCUCGGUACGUAAAGCUCUAUCAGCAGGGAAGAAAAUGACGGUACCUGACUAAGAAGCCCCGGCUAACUACGUGCCAGCAGCCGCGGUAAUACGUAGGGGGCAAGCGUUAUCCGGAUUUACUGGGUGUAAAGGGAGCGUAGACGGAAUUGCAAGUCUGAUGUGAAAAUCCGGGGCCCAACCCCGGAACUGCAUUGGAAACUGUAUUUCUAGAGUGUCGGAGAGGCAAGUGGAAUUCCUGGUGUAGCGGUGAAAUGCGUAGAUAUCAGGAGGAACACCAGUGGCGAAGGCGGCUUACUGGACUGUAACUGACGUUGAGGCUCGAAAGCGUGGGGAGCAAACAGGAUUAGAUACCCCUGUACU
RNAcentral lists this ribosomal RNA (448 nucleotides) under uncultured bacterium. RNAcentral's name for it is "bacterial SSU rRNA". It matches the Rfam family "Bacterial small subunit ribosomal RNA", at positions 329 to 794 of the family's 1533-position model. The record is from RNAcentral.